AUAACGCUUGAGGCUGCCACGCUGUUCACAAAAAUAAUUGUUAUUUAUUAUUGUUAAUUAAUUUUCACAAAUUUACAAUACAAUUACAAUAUGUAUUUAUAUAUAUAUAUACACAUUUUUAAAUUGUGUAAAUUACAGAGCCUAGGCCUAAUUUUUAAAACUUUAAAGUUUUAAAAUUUAUUUGUAGACAAUCUGGCAGGCCCCACUCAGUCAUGAAUUCAGGACAUGUGGCAGCACCAAAUUAGUUGAUCGCGCGUAUUUCUAUUAAAGUUUUGUGUGAUUAUGUUUUGAGUUAAAAGUGGAAAUAAUUUAAGGCCACAAAACCUUGGCAAUAACUUUACGCUUCACUGGGUUAGCAGGCGACAGCAGAUGACAACAAGGAGCACCACCAGCAGCAGCUGGAGCAGCUGAAACAGGAACGGCAAUCAGCUAAAGCUCGGUCAAUUUAAUGGAAGUAGCCAUGUCCAGGCCACAUUUAUGACAAACUGGCUGCUUAGUAUGAAGCCAGAAAGCAAAGCAGUCAAGGAGUUGCCUGCAGUCAGCGCUAAUAUAUCACGACUCGCUUUCUUUACACAUAUGCCACAUAUAAAUACACUGAGAGAAAUGUGUGUCACUUGAGUGCAGUUUAGUAAGUAAAUUAUCAAUGAAUCAAGUAA
Molecule: long non-coding RNA, 656 nt
Organism: Drosophila mojavensis
Lineage: Eukaryota; Metazoa; Arthropoda; Insecta; Diptera; Drosophilidae
Exons: 2
Source: RefSeq, a predicted model, not a curated record